Long non-coding RNA from Lynx canadensis (Canada lynx), 2438 nucleotides. RefSeq lists it as uncharacterized. Lineage: Eukaryota; Metazoa; Chordata; Mammalia; Carnivora; Felidae. The record is from RefSeq and is a predicted model, not a curated record. The transcript has 3 exons.
GCCCACUGUUGGUAGCCCAGGUACUUCAUCUUCUGUUUUUGACAAUGCCAAUGUAAGUUCAUUGAACUUUCCUCAGUCAUCCACUUUGUGUGCACCAUACUGUGUGUGUCGUGACUGACACAGAAAAUACCCAUAUGUUUCCACAGCAGAGAACACAAAUGCCCAGGAAUGCUGUCAGGAAGGUCCUUGAGUGGCUUAGUAGCCAUAAGUAGUCAGCACUCCAUGGGCAUACAGAAAGAAUGGAAAGCAUUGGUCUAGCUAGGACCCUUGUCAAUAGCCUUGGCCCUCCAGCCAAGGGCCACCAGGAACACACACGUAGUAGAACAAGUCGAUUUUAGUACUUGUUGCAGUGAAGGAGAAAGCACACUAUGGGACCUAUGGUGGCAUCUCGGCAAGGAGGUGCUGGAAAGGACUGACAGGAUGUUGGGUUGUCUUGGGUGAUUUGGGGGAGGAUUUAAGGAAGCAGGGAUUUGCUCUGGCUUGGAUGCUAUGACGAAGCAGGAGUAAUUCUAUGAUUGUGUAUCUCAAUAAAUUUUAUCUGUAAGGAGGCCAGAAUAUACUGAGGAUAAAGCUAUAAUUGGUAAAGUAGCAUCAGGCACUCAUAUUAACUAGGAGUGGUGGGGGCGGGGGAUCUUUGGUAUUUUGUAGUUUGAGCAUUAUUCUUGGUUUUGUCUGUGUUAGAUAUGAUGACAGAGUGAUCUUGUUUUAGUCUUGAUACAUCUUGGUCACAGAAUGGCCUUGUCUGAUGUUGAUUUUCUGUGAAAUUAUUUUUGUUCACUAGGAGAACACCAGGGCCUAGCAAUCAGUGCCAGGACAGCUUCUAGCAACAUCCAUAUGGGAGUCAGGGAAUACUUUUCUCUUUCUCACCUUGUGUCAUGAAGACCGAAGUCUGAUCUGCAUUGAAUAACCCAUGCAGCUUAUUAAAAUAUAGAUCUUAGGACUCUGUCCCCAGAUCUAUUGAAUUAAUGUCUAGGGGUAGGGCUUGGAAGUCUGUAUUUCUAAUUAGCAUGAUGCAUCAUUCUUAUGUACACCAGAAUCUAAAGCCUACUGGUCUAAAAGAGAGGUAUCACAAACAUGUUUAUAAGCUGAGAUUUGUGGUAACAGUUCUCAAUGUGAGACAUCAAGAGCCAAACAAAGUGUAUGUUUAAAUUUUCAUUAGCAUCAAGUUCCAGCACUUUGGAAUUACAGGAUUUUCACUCAGUGGAACCAGCCUUUGAAUUUACAAGGUUAUCUGUUCUUAUACCUUGUGUGCCAGUUUUAGAAAAACCUCAACUAAGGAGGUCAACCUGUAAGUGACAGAAGAGAAGGGGCUGAUCAUCUAUUACCAUAAAUCAAUAAAAGGUAGACACCAGUAGAAAGGCUGCUGCCAAACAGAGAAAAAAAAUCCAACAACAUUGAGGAAUUGCUUCCAAAGUCAGUGAGAACAUUCACAAGGAUAAAGCACAAUUCCAGAGGCAGAGCUUUUCAAGAUGCAUAACUGAAAUCCCAUUUAACAAGGCAAACUACAGAUCAGAAAUGAGAUGCCUUAACUGUAAAACGUCUAGUAAAAUUACUGCAGAUAGAAACACAAAAAUCUUCUUCAAAGGAAAAUUCUCAAGAAAGAAUACAAAGAAAGCAGAAAUGAAUGUUAAUUUAUUCUAAAACCACAACUAGGGAGAUAUUUGGCCUUCUCAAGAGUCAGAGAAGGACUACCAAAGUCUAACUAAGAAAGAGCCUAACGAACUUUCAAUCCGAUUUUGAGGCAUUAGCGAGAUUUCCCUGUUAAGAUGACAGGGGCAAGGAGACUUGAGGCUCAGACAUGGCCACCAAGUCUAGAUCAGAACAUUUUAUGUUCCUAUUGAAUUUUCCUACUCUUCGGAUGUAGAAGAACUGAGCUCACCACAAUCAAAUAACCCCACCAAAGCUUUCCUAAUAGGAAGUUAGGAAAUGAGUCUUCUUAGCCUGAAUAAUGUGUUUUGUCUUAAAGUCUAUUUUGUCUGUAAUCUCCACAGGCAGAGAGUCUGCAUCUAUAGCUCAUUACCAUUAUUCUGAUGAUAAUGUUACGUCUCAUCAAUUACUUGGGAGGAAGGUCAAAUUUAGCAGCCAAAUCUCCCCUUUGAAGGGUCAAGCAAGGAUGGUUGAGAAAAUCAUGGAGACAUAAAAAAGGGGAAGAACCUGCAUGUAAGAGAGAAGAUACUGUGUGACUUUGUAAAUAGAUAUUGGAAAUUAGAGGUGGAGGUCAGUCAAUACCUUGAUUUCAUCCUCAAGGAAGAGUUAACACCUGUAUCAAGCUGUCAGCAUAUAAAUGCCCUUCAUUCCAGCAGCUGCUGUCAGCAUAGUUCAUGGCUUGGCCUCCUUCAGCAAAGAGGACUGCCUGAACCAGGGCUGAGCCCCUUCACAGUCGCACUCUGGAAAUGUUGAAGCUCAAAGGUAAGGUCUUUUUUUUCUAGUAGAAUUCU